Molecule: long non-coding RNA, 1318 nt
Filed under: Homo sapiens (human)
Lineage: Eukaryota; Metazoa; Chordata; Mammalia; Primates; Hominidae
Description: HSALNT0315366
Source: RNAcentral
CCGGGUGCUAAGCCCCUCAUUGCCCGGGGUCGGCGGGGCCCGCCCGCUGCUCCGGGGGCGGGGCCCGCCAAGCCCACGCCCACCCGGAACUCCAGAUGGCCCGCAAGCGCCGCGCGCAGCGCCGGUUCCCGCUCGCGCCUCUCCCUCCACACCUCCCUGCAAGCUGAGGGAGUGGACUCUGGCCUUGGCCAGCCCAGAAAGGGGCUCCCACAGUGCAGCCGUGGGCUGAAGGGCUCCUCAAGUGCCGCCAAAGUGGGAGCCCAGGCAGAGGAGUCGCCGAGAGCGAGCGCGGGCUGUGAGGACUGCCAGCACGCUGUCACCUCUCAAUAACGCCCAUCCCAACGUUUCCUGAGGAAUAAUUUUGGUCGUGUUCCUGCUACUCAGCUUUUCGUGGUUCCUGCUCAUUUUCAGAGUCUAACAUUCCAGCUUUUCCGGAAAUUCUAUACUUUGAUGUAAAAGUUUUCAAAGAAAUGCUUUGGGCAGAAGAGACUCAUGGAAACUGGACACUAUAUCUGGAGCCAGGAAUAAUAGGAUCCGAGAAACAGUAACAAGUAUAAAACAAAGUGGUCUUGAACUCCUGGCCUCAAGUAAUCCUCCCCACUGGGCUUCCCAAAGUGCUGGGACUACAGAGAAUCUUAACCCAAAAGAAGAAUGAGCCAAGAACAUGAACAGACAAUUCAAAGAAAAGGAAAUGACCUUUAAACAUAUGAAACAAUGUCCAACUUCAGGCAAUAAGAGAAAUGCACUUAUUAAGACUACAAGAAAAUGCCUUAUUUUUUCAUCUAUCAGUCUUGCAAAGAUUUGAAAGUUGACUAUUAUAUCAUUUUGACAAAAAGGGAUCUGGUCUUCAACAAGUACAGGAAAGAAUCUCUUCUAGCAGUGGGAAGAAAAAGUGCAAACUUUGGACCCAUUACAUGGUGGAAGCUUCAGAAAUCUUUGUGCUAUGAAUAAGAUUUAUAGGAACAUUGUGACCUGACUUACAUCAUCCAAAGCCAACUGAUUGAGAAGAAAGAAGAUUGAGAACCUCCUCGGACCCUCACUGCCACCCAGAUGUCCGUGGUCAUAGGUCUAUUGAUCUUAAUGCCCUCCCUCUUCCCCUAACAUAAAAGGAAAAUAAAAUUCCUGAAAUUCAUAUUUACUUAAGAUGUUGCUUAAGGACACUAGUUUGUCAUCUUCUCGGUUUGCUGGCUCUCCAAAUAAAGUUGCCUUCCUUGCCCCAACACCUUGUCUCUGUACGUAUUGGCUGUCAUGCGGUGUAUUAGUUCAUUCUCACAUUGCUAUAAAGAAGUACCUGAGACUGGAUAAUUUAUGAAGAAAA